This 64-nucleotide transfer RNA is filed under the name Perna perna. RNAcentral's name for it is "tRNA-Met". The record is from RNAcentral. Lineage: Eukaryota; Metazoa; Mollusca; Bivalvia; Mytilida; Mytilidae.
GGUAAAGUGAUCUAAUUUUAGGAUACAGGGUUCAUGCCCCUGCAGUGCUUAUAUGCCUUUACUU